Molecule: ribosomal RNA, 640 nt
Filed under: uncultured fungus
Lineage: Eukaryota; Fungi
Description: eukaryotic LSU rRNA
Rfam family: Eukaryotic large subunit ribosomal RNA
Source: RNAcentral
AUAUCAAUAAGCGGAGGAAAAGAAAGCAACAGCGAUUUCCUUAGUAGUGGCGAACGAAGAGGAAUAAGCUCAGAUUUAAAAUCGAGUGUGGGUCAAUCCAUACUUCGAAUUGUAGCCUUCAGGUGUAUAGUCGCGGUCGCCCGUCCGAAUGUAAGUUCCCUGGAAUGGGGCGUCAAAGAGGGUGAGAACCCCGUUUGUUUAUUCAUUCGGUACGAAGUUGCGGCGCCAGCCGUCUAUGCUCCUUUCGAGUCGAGUUGUUUGGGAUUGCAGCUCUAAACUUUUAUUACGGGGAGGUAGAUCACUCCUAAAGCUAAAUAUCGAUGAGAGACCGAUAGCGAACAAGUACCGCGAGGGAAAGAUGAAAAGAACUUUGAAAAGAGGGUUAAAAGCGUUCGAAAUCGUUAACAGGGAAGCGAACAGAACCGGGAUUUCAUGGGUAGUCAUCAUCAGCUACUAGUGAUUGUCAUUGUUAUUUGUCUGAGUUGCAAUAUACCAGCGAGUGGCAAUGUUACGGUUAUUAGACGGUGUACAAUGAUUGCUCAUGUGUCGGCAUCGAUCUCUAGUUGUUCGAAGGGAGAGUAAAGGAGACGGAUGAAGGCGCUUCAAACGCUUUAUCAUUGACGGACUUUGCUAUUUUCCG